RNAcentral lists this ribosomal RNA (459 nucleotides) under uncultured bacterium. RNAcentral's name for it is "partial 16S ribosomal RNA". It matches the Rfam family "Bacterial small subunit ribosomal RNA", at positions 338 to 795 of the family's 1533-position model. The record is from RNAcentral.
CCUACGGGAGGCAGCAGUGAGGAAUAUUGGUCAAUGGACGCAAGUCUGAACCAGCCAUGCCGCGUGCAGGAAGACGGCUCUAUGAGUUGUAAACUGCUUUUGUCCGAGGGUAAAUCCCGAUACGUGUAUCGGGUUGAAAGUAUCGUACGAAUAAGGAUCGGCUAACUCCGUGCCAGCAGCCGCGGUAAUACGGAGGAUUCAAGCGUUAUCCGGAUUUAUUGGGUUUAAAGGGUGCGUAGGCGGUUCGAUAAGUUAGAGGUGAAAUCGUGGAGCUCAACUCCAUCCAGCCGUUGAAACUGAUGAUCUUGAGUGGGAGAGAAGUAUGCGGAAUGCGUGGUGUAGCGGUGAAAUGCAUAGAUAUCACGCAGAACUCCGAUUGCGAAGGCAGCAUACCGGCGCCCGACUGACGCUGAAGCACGAAAGCGUGGGUAUCGAACAGGAUUAGAUACCCCAGUAGUC